This 258-nucleotide ribosomal RNA is filed under the name Triticum aestivum (bread wheat). Its description in RNAcentral is "partial small subunit ribosomal RNA". The record is from RNAcentral. Lineage: Eukaryota; Viridiplantae; Streptophyta; Magnoliopsida; Poales; Poaceae.
GUAUGUGACAUCUGCGGCGUAACAGAGGAGAGCGAAUACCAUGCGGUGGUGUCAUGUACUAAGAGCAGAGCACUCCGUCAAGAGAUGCGAACACAUUGGAAGUUACCAAAGGAGAAAGCAUUUUGGUAUACUGGUCAGGAUUGGCUUCAAAGUCUUCUGAAUGCUUGUGAAGUAGACGAACGAAACAAAAUCUUACUGCUACUAUGGCGUGCUUGGUUCCUCCGAGAUAAUAUAAUUCAUGGGAAUGGAAAGGAAUCG